CCAGCAGCGUUGCAGUUCUUGACACACACCGGUGCCCCUGGUACCUACUACCAUACUUCGUUCAAAGGCAUUUAAAUAUUUUGUCCUGCCCAUUCACCCUCGGAACGUCACACAUACACAAUCCAUGUCUCAAUUGUCUAGAGGAUUAAAAAUCCUUCUUUAACAUGACUCCUCCCCUUCAUCUAUACUGAUUGAAGUGGAUUUAACAGGUGACAUCAAUAAGGGGUCAUAGCUUUCACCUGGAUUCACCUGGUCAGUCUGUCCUGAUAAGAACAGGUUUUCUUAAUGUUUUGUCCACUCACUGUAUAGAUGUGCUAUAUUCAAAGCAGGUUGUAGAUUAGCCUAUAGGGGCUCGGUCUCUCCUACACAUGUUCCAAACAUCCGCUUUAUUUAACCAUGUGACCUCCAUCAUACUGUUAGACAUUACAUGGUUGGUUAGCAGGUUUUAGUUUAAAACACUACACACAACAAACCCUGGAACAGAUCCAUUCAAAUCCUCCCUCUGUGUCACAAAUGGCAUCCUUUCCCCUGUAUAGUGCACUACUUAAGGGAUAGGGUUCAACCCAUAGGGCUCUGGUCAAAUGAAGUUUACAAUAUAGGGUUCAACCCAUAGGGCUCUGGUCAAAUGAAGUGCACUAUAUAGGGCUCUGGUCAAAUGAAGUGCACUAUAUAGGGUUCAACCCAUAGGGCUCUGGUCAAAUGAAGUGUACUAUAUAUGGUUCAACCCAUAGGGCUCUGGUCAAAUGAAGUGUACUAUAUAUGGUUCAACCCAUAGGGCUCUGAUCAAAUGAAGUGUACUAUAUAGGGCUCUGGUCAAAUGAAGUGCACUAUAUAGGGCUCUGGUCAAAUGAAGUGCACUAUAUAGGGCUCAACCCAUAGGGUUCUGGUCAAAUGAAGUGCACUAUAUAGGGUUCUGGUCAAAUGAAGUGCACUAUAUAGGGCUCAACCCAUAGGGCUCUGGUCAAAUGAAGUGCACUAUAUAGGGCUCUGGUCAAAUGAAGUGCACUAUAUAGGGUUCAACCCAUAGGGCUCUGGUCAAAUGAAGUGUACUAUAUAGGGCUCAACCCAUAGGGCUCUGGUCAAAUGAUGUGCACUAUAUAGGGCUCUGGUCAAAUGAAGUGUACUAUAUAGGGCUCUGGUCAAAUGAAGUGUACUAUAUAGGGCUCAACCCAUAGGGCUCUGGUCAAAUGAAGUGCACUAUAUAGGGCUCUGGUCAAAUGAAGUGUACUAUAUAGGGCUCUGGUCAAAUGAAGUGCACUAUAUAGGGCUCAACCCAUAGGACUCUGGUCAAAUGAAGUGCACUAUAUAGGGCUCUGGUCAAAUUAAGUGUACUAUAUAGGGUUCAACCCAUAGGGCCCUGGUCAAAUGAAGUGUACUAUAUAGGGCUCAACCCAUAGGGCCCUGGUCAAAUGAAGUGUACUAUAUAGGGUUCAACCCAUAGGGCUCUGGUCAAAUGAAGUGUACUAUAUAGGGCUCUGGUCAAAUGAAGUGUACUUUAUAGGGCUCAACCCAUAGGGCUCUGGUCAAAUGAAGGGCACUAUAUAGGGGAUAGGGUACCAUUUGGGAUGUAAAUUAGGUAUACUUUUGACAUGUUGCUAUUAGCAACAACUCCACUGAUGUACAGUCCAUGUAUGGUCAGAUCUUUAGAGUUAGAGCAGGAAACCUACUUAGAGGCUACUUGUCCCCUUCAUAAGCAAUACUUAAGGGCCUACGUCAUCCCUGUGGAGGAUCCAAAGCCCAAGCCCAGAUUAACGGGUCUGUAUGGGUCGGAUCGUUUCAAAUACUUGCUGGAAGGGCGUGGGGUUGUUGUGAUUGGGUCAGUACAUGUCAUAUUGGACAAGACUCAAGAUGAUGCUUUUACCUAUGAAGCCCUCAUGCACUGCUUAUGAAGGUGCUAUACACUGCUUAUGAAGGUGCUAUACACUGCUUAUGAAGGUGCUAUACACUGCUUAUAUUACCACCAACGAUAAUAACAUCAUCCUCAGUCUUUCAUCAAUAUUUACAAACUCGUGAUCUGUUAAAUAAUGUCAAUAACAACAACACAGUAAAACCAAAAACACAGACUAAAUUCAAAACAUCAGCCGCUCAGUAAAAAAAGCACUUCGUAAAAAUCUGAGAAACUAAAUUAAAAUUCAUCCCCAGUCUGAUUCUGACAAACACAAAGUUAAACACAUCAGUGUCCUUCAAUCCCAGUCCUGGAAACACACAGGGUGUGCAGGGUUUUGUGCCAGCCUAACACACCUCAAUCAACUUAUCAAAAGGGCUUGAUGAUUGGACGAUUGAUGGAACCAGGAUGAAAGAAAAGUGAAAUAAACAAUAUCUUGAUAUACAUUUCAACAUAUGAAUCAUCUCUAUUGACGAGAAGAGAAGGUAUAUGGAGAUGCAAAUGAAAUGAAGAUUGACUGGUCCACCGUUCACUAUCCUGACCAGGGUUCUGAUCACUUCCCCCACAUAGAUGCUGCUUUCACUGGGGGUGUCUGUUCUCUGGUCCAG
Long non-coding RNA from Oncorhynchus tshawytscha (Chinook salmon), 2493 nucleotides. Lineage: Eukaryota; Metazoa; Chordata; Actinopteri; Salmoniformes; Salmonidae. The record is from Ensembl.